This 75-nucleotide transfer RNA is filed under the name Clostridia bacterium. Its description in RNAcentral is "tRNA-Ile". It matches the Rfam family "tRNA". Rfam says of the family: Transfer RNA (tRNA) molecules are approximately 80 nucleotides in length. Their secondary structure includes four short double-helical elements and three loops (D, anti-codon, and T loops). The record is from RNAcentral. Lineage: Bacteria; Bacillati; Bacillota; Clostridia.
GGGCCUAUAGCUCAGCGGUAGAGCGGCCGGCUCAUAACCGGUUGGCCCCAGGUUCGAUCCCUGGUGGGCCCACCA